Molecule: long non-coding RNA, 312 nt
Filed under: Danio rerio (zebrafish)
Lineage: Eukaryota; Metazoa; Chordata; Actinopteri; Cypriniformes; Danionidae
Description: lncRNA si:ch73-123f19.2 (ENSDARG00000096691.2)
Source: RNAcentral
GAGACAAGUCGCAUUCUUAUAGCGAGUCAAUGGAUGAUUCAAACAAUGAUUCACAUGAGCCCUAAAACGCCUCUAAUAACCCUGCUUGAAGCGAAUUGCUGUUCUCCAUCGACUUCAUCGAGAGUUUUUGUCGUCGACGGAGUAAUAGAUGAAGAUCCGUCCUGCUCUGGGAUGAUGCACUGAUGCACUUCUCUGAGAUGUUCGGUCCCCCCAGGAGAAGACCUUCAUUGAAAUGCUCCUUUGACUUGAUCAGUCAUGCUUCAGCUGCAGGUCAGUUGGCCUAUUUUCUCUGAUACUGCUGGAAGUGUUCCU